RNAcentral lists this ribosomal RNA (382 nucleotides) under Chrysocapsa paludosa. RNAcentral's name for it is "partial small subunit ribosomal RNA". It matches the Rfam family "Eukaryotic small subunit ribosomal RNA", at positions 30 to 432 of the family's 1831-position model. The record is from RNAcentral. Lineage: Eukaryota; Chrysophyceae; Chromulinales; Chrysocapsaceae.
GCUUGUCUCAAAGAUUAAGCCAUGCAUGUCUAAGUAUAGUACCUUAUACUGCGAAACUGCGAAUGGCUCAUUAAAUCAGUUAUAAUUCAUUUGAUGGUACUUACUACUCGGAUAACCGUAGUAAUUCUAGAGCUAAUACAUGCAUCAUCCCCCAUCUCGGGGUGUAUUUAUUAGAUGGAAACCAAUGCGGGGCAACCCGGAAUAUGGUGAAUCAUAAUAACUGUCGUAUCGAGCAAUCGAAGCGCCAUACAAGUUUCUGCCCUAUCAGCUUUGGAUGGUAGGGUAUUGGCCUACCAUGGCUUUAACGGGUAACGGAGAAUUAGGGUUCGAUUCCGGAGAGGGAGCCUGAGAAACGGCUACCACAUCCAAGGAAGGCAGCAGG